This is a non-coding RNA of Pundamilia nyererei, 522 nucleotides long. The record is from the annotation of a RefSeq genome assembly. NCBI's taxonomy places the organism in Eukaryota, Metazoa, Chordata, Actinopteri, Cichliformes, Cichlidae.
AUGUCGCAGAGUGAUGUCUGCCUGUCAGUGAAAAGACAGAUCAGCUUAAAGAUUUCCUCUUUAGCAUCAGUCAUGUUAGCUGUGAUACUGCUGCUGGCUGCUGGAUCAUGUGUGUACAGUAUUGAUCUCAUUCAGCCAGACUCAAGGUCUGUGCAGCCUGGACAGUCUUUUUCCAUCACCUGCCAGGUUUCUGGUUAUUCUAUGACUGAUAACAGCUAUGCAACAGGUUGGAUCAGACAGCGUGAAGGAAAAGCAAUGGACUGGAUUUCUCAUCAGUGGGGUGGAGGCACCCUUCGGCAAAAUGGUGAUUUAAAGAACAAGUUCAGCUACAGCAGAGACACUUCUGCCAGAACAGCAACAAUAACAGGACAGAAUCUGCAGACCGAGGACACAGCUGUUUAUUACUGUGUGCGUGUUAGUGACACAGUGAUCCAGAACACCAAGAGACCUGCACAAAUACUCAGAAACCUGCAAGACAUGCAUGGUGUAAACUUGAAUAUCAACAACGACAUGAAAAAAUGA